Molecule: ribosomal RNA, 465 nt
Filed under: uncultured bacterium
Lineage: Bacteria
Description: bacterial SSU rRNA
Rfam family: Bacterial small subunit ribosomal RNA
Source: RNAcentral
AGUGAACGCUGGCGGCGUGCCUAACACAUGCAAGUCGAGCGAUGAAGUUUCCUUCGGGAAACGGAUUUAGCGGCGGACGGGUGAGUAACACGUGGGCAACCUGCCUUAUAGAGGGGAAUAGCCUUCCGAAAGGAAGAUUAAUACCGCAUAACAUUAUCGAAUGGCAUCAUUUGAUAAUCAAAGGAGCAAUCCGCUAUAAGAUGGGCCCGCGUCGCAUUAGUUAGUUGGUGGGGUAAUGGCCUACCAAGACGACGAUGCGUAGCCGACCUGAGAGGGUGAUCGGCCACAUUGGGACUGAGACACGGCCCAGACUCCUACGGGAGGCAGCAGUGGGGAAUAUUGCACAAUGGGGGAAACCCUGAUGCAGCAACGCCGCGUGAGCGAUGAAGGUCUUCGGAUCGUAAAGCUCUGUCUUUAGGGAUGAUAAUGACAGUACCUAAGGAGGAAGCCACGGCUAACUACGUG